ACAGUGGACGCGAGCAUCUGUGGCCAAGUUUUUAAGGGCGCACGGUGGAUGCCUUGGCACCAGGAACCGAUGAAGGACGUGGGAGGCCGCGAUAGUCCCCGGGGAGUCGUCAACCAGGCUUUGAUCCGGGGGUUUCCGAAUGGGGAAACCCGGCAGUCGUCAUGGGCUGUCACCCGCUGCUGAACACAUAGGCAGUGUGGAGGGAACGAGGGGAAGUGAAACAUCUCAGUACCCUCAGGAAGAGAAAACAACCGUGAUUCCGGGAGUAGUGGCGAGCGAAACUGGAUGAGGCCAAACCGUAUGCGUGUGAGACCCGGCAGGGGUUGCGCAUGCGGGGUUGUGGGUUCUUUCUUCUGUCGUCUGCCGGCGGCAGGACGAGUCAGAAACCGUUGAUGUAGGCGAAGGACAUGCGAAAGGUCCGGCGUAGAGGGUAAGACCCCCGUAGUCGAAACGUCAGCGGCUCGUUUGAGAGAUACCCAAGUAGCACGGGGCCCGAGAAAUCCCGUGUGAAUCUGGCGGGACCACCCGCUAAGCCUAAAUAUUCCCUGGUGACCGAUAGCGGAUAGUACCGUGAGGGAAUGGUGAAAAGUACCCCGGGAGGGGAGUGAAAUAGUACCUGAAACCGUGUGCCUACAAGCCGUGGGAGCGUCGGAUGCAGCUUGCUGUAUCUCGUGACUGCGUGCCUUUUGAAGAAUGAGCCUGCGAGUUUGCGGUGUGUUGCGAGGUUAACCCGGGUGGGGAAGCCGUAGCGAAAGCGAGUCCGAACAGGGCGUUUUAGUAGCACGCUCAAGACCCGAAGCGGAGUGAUCUAGCCAUGGGCAGGUUGAAGCGGAGGUAAGACUUCGUGGAGGACCGAACCCACCAGGGUUGAAAACCUGGGGGAUGACCUGUGGUUAGGGGUGAAAGGCCAAUCAAACUCCGUGAUAGCUGGUUCUCCCCGAAAUGCAUUUAGGUGCAGCGUCGUGUGUUUCUUGCCGGAGGUAGAGCACUGGAUAGGCGAUGGGCCCUACCGGGUUACUGACCUUAGCCAAACUCCGAAUGCCGGUAAGUGAGAGCGCGGCAGUGAGACUGUGGGGGAUAAGCUCCAUGGUCGAGAGGGAAACAGCCCAGAGCAUCGACUAAGGCCCCUAAGCGUACGCUAAGUGGGAAAGGAUGUGGAGUCGCACAGACAACCAGGAGGUUGGCUUAGAAGCAGCCACCCUUGAAAGAGUGCGUAAUAGCUCACUGGUCUAGUGAUUCCGCGCCGACAAUGUAGCGGGGCUCAAGCGUACCGCCGAAGUCGUGUCAUUCAUAUAUAUAGCCCCAACGGGUGUAUGGAUGGGUAGGGGAGCGUCGUCUGCCGGGUGAAGCGGCACUGGAAGGUAGUCGUGGACGGUUGACGAGUGAGAAUGCAGGCAUGAGUAGCGAUUCACACGUGAGAAACGUGUGCGCCGAUUGACUAAGGGUUCCUGGGUCAAGCUGAUCUGCCCAGGGUAAGUCGGGACCUAAGGCGAGGCCGACAGGCGUAGUCGAUGGAUAACCGGUUGAUAUUCCGGUACCCGCUGUGAAGCGUCAAACAUCGAGCAUCGUGAUGCUAAGGCCGUGAAGCCGUUCCGGACCCUUCGGGGAAAGGAAAGUGGUGGAGCCGCCGGACCAAGCGGUUAGUAGGUGAGUGAUGGGGUGACGCAGGAAGGUAGUCCAUCCCGGGCGGUGGUUGUCCCGGGGUAAGGGUGUAG
Molecule: ribosomal RNA, 1715 nt
Filed under: Streptomyces sp. FXJ1.172
Lineage: Bacteria; Bacillati; Actinomycetota; Actinomycetes; Kitasatosporales; Streptomycetaceae
Description: bacterial LSU rRNA
Rfam family: Bacterial large subunit ribosomal RNA
Source: RNAcentral